This is a long non-coding RNA of Microtus oregoni (creeping vole), 593 nucleotides long. RefSeq lists it as uncharacterized. The transcript is spliced from 5 exons. The record is from RefSeq and is a predicted model, not a curated record. Lineage: Eukaryota; Metazoa; Chordata; Mammalia; Rodentia; Cricetidae.
UCUGAUGAAGGCCAAGGUCCAGCUGGGCAUCCAUUCCUAAGCUGAGAGAGGAGGAUCCAGGGAAGCAGCGGCCAGAGGUUGUCUUCUGACCUCACCCUGUGGUCCUUUCCCAGUACUGGGGCAUCAGAUGGUGAGAAUGCAGCAAGCACCUGUUGUUUAAGCCGUGGUAUUUUACCACAGCGACACUACGUGUUCUGCAAGCCUGUCUUCUGACAGCUGUAUUCCCAGUGCCCAAUAAACUCAGGCUACGUCACGGAGAACGGAGGAGAGAGGCCUGCCAAGGAAGAAUGCCAUGGGAGGACACAGCAUGAAUGUUGAGUUCUGCUCUCCACUUACGGAACACACCGAAGGGACUCCUACUGCCCUCAACUGUGGCUCUUCAUUCCAUGAAGUUUCAAACACCCUGGAAGAGUGAAGCCAAGGUUGACACAACUGGAAAUCAACCACAAGUCACGCUCUUUAAUGGGUUCUGACAGCCAGGAGGAACAGGGAAGUAUCCUCCCCAGUUCUGCCAGUACCACCCCCUCCCCCCAAGAGGGAGCACAGCCCAGCCUCAGAGCCUCAGCGUCCUCCAUUGCAAGCUGGGAUGGAAC